GACGAACGCUGGCGGCGUGCUUAACACAUGCAAGUCGAACGGAAAGGCCCCCAUCUUGGUGGGGGUGCUCGAGUGGCGAACGGGUGUGUAACACGUGGGUGAUCUGCCCUGUACUUCGGGAUAAGCUUGGGAAACUGGGUCUAAUACCGGAUAGGACCAUGGUUUAGUGUCUCAUGGUGGAAAGAUUAUUGUUUUGGUGCAGGAUGAGCUCGCGGCCUAUCAGCUUGUUGGUGGGGUAAUGGCCUACCAAGGCGUCGACGGGUAGCCGGCCUGAGAGGGUGGACGGCCACAUUGGGACUGAGAUACGGCCCAGACUCCUACGGGAGGCAGCAGUGGGGAAUAUUGCACAAUGGGCGCAAGCCUGAUGCAGCGACGCCGCGUGGGGGAUGACGGCCUUCGGGUGGUAAACUCCUUUCGUUAGGGACGAAGCCGCACUUUUUUUGGGUGUGGUGACGGUACCUUUGUUAAGAAGCACCGGCUAACUACGUG
RNAcentral lists this ribosomal RNA (489 nucleotides) under uncultured bacterium. Its description in RNAcentral is "partial 16S ribosomal RNA". It matches the Rfam family "Bacterial small subunit ribosomal RNA", at positions 28 to 507 of the family's 1533-position model. The record is from RNAcentral.